This is a long non-coding RNA of Parus major (Great Tit), 796 nucleotides long. RefSeq lists it as uncharacterized. NCBI's taxonomy places the organism in Eukaryota, Metazoa, Chordata, Aves, Passeriformes, Paridae. The record is from RefSeq and is a predicted model, not a curated record. The transcript is spliced from 3 exons.
CCCAUCCUGGUCCCGAUCCCAUCCCGGUCCCGAUCCCAUCCCGGUCCCGAUCCCAUCCCGGUCCCGAUGCAGCCCCGCUGAGGCUGUGGCAGGCAGCCAUGGGAGUUACACCUCCUUCCUUCAGGCUUGGAAAUCUCUCUCCUGCAGGGAUUCCCAGGCUGGGUUUGUGGACACACCAGCCCGUCAGAUGAAGCACAGGAGCUCUUGGGAGCAGCAGCAGCACCUGACCGACCACAGCCUGUGGAGCCCAGUAGGUGUCAGUCCAGCCAAGGCUUCCUGAGCACAGCCGUGAAUAAACCUCUGCUGCCCUCCUGCCUCUUCCUUCCCAGCCCAGAAACCUGGCUGGCAUCAUUUCCCAUCACAGUCACAGCCAGCACAUCAGAGAUUCCCUUUUCCCUGCUGUUACCUUCUAAUAAAUGUCUGCAUGGUUGGCCUUUCCUUUCCCUGGCUGCUCACCUGCCCUGGCUGCCUGGCAGGGGUAGAGCUCGGGCUGGGAUUUGCAGGGGAUUAGCUUUGCCAUCAAGCAUUGGGGUGGAAAAGCACAAAUCCAGGGAGCCGCCCUGAGGAGAAGAAUUUGGGAGCUCAACAUGACCCGAGCUGGCCCCCAGAACCUCCCCAGCCCCAUGCCCUGGGCUGAGCCCCAGCGUGGGCAGCAGGGGAGGGGAAAUUCUGCCCCACUCAGGUGAGACCCCACCUGCAGAGCUGCCCCCAGAUCUGGGGCCCGACACAGGAGGGACCUGCAGCUGCUGGAGAGAGCCCAGAGCAGGCCAAGGAGCUGCUCCAGGGCUGGAGCCCC